UAGUGGCGCACGGGUGAGUAAUAUAUAGCUAAUCUGCCCUACACUAGAGGACAACAGUUGGAAACGACUGCUAAUACUCUAUACUCCUUCUUUACAUAAGUUAAGUCGGGAAAGUUUUUCGGUGUAGGAUGAGGCUAUAUCGUAUCAGCUAGUUGGUGAGGUAAUGGCUCACCAAGGCUAUGACGCGUAACUGGUCUGAGAGGAUGAUCAGUCACACUGGAACUGAGACACGGUCCAGACUCC
RNAcentral lists this ribosomal RNA (243 nucleotides) under uncultured Campylobacter sp. RNAcentral describes it as "partial 16S ribosomal RNA". It matches the Rfam family "Bacterial small subunit ribosomal RNA", at positions 93 to 339 of the family's 1533-position model. The record is from RNAcentral. Lineage: Bacteria; Pseudomonadati; Campylobacterota; Epsilonproteobacteria; Campylobacterales; Campylobacteraceae.